CCUACGGGAGACAGCAGUGGGGAAUAUUGCGCAAUGGGCGAAAGCCUGACGCAGCGACGCAGCGUGAGGGAUGAAGGUCUUCGGAUCGUAAACCUGUGUCAGCAGGGAAGUACGGUCACUGUGCUAAUCAGCAGUGAAUUGACGGUACCUGCAAAGGAAGCACCGGCUAACUCCGUGCCAGCAGCCGCGGUAAUACGGAGGGUGCGAGCGUUAAUCGGAAUUAGUGGGCGUAAAGCGCUCGUAGGCGGUAUGUAAAGUCAAGGGUGAAAUCCCCGCGCUCAACGUGGGAACUGCCUUUGAAACUGGCAAACUGGAGUGUGUGAGAGGAUAGUGGAAUUCAAGGUGUAGGAGUGAAAUCCGUAGAUAUCUGGAGGAACAUCAGUGGCGAAGGCGACUAUCUGGCACAUAACUGACGCUGAGGAGCGAAAGCGUGGGUAGCAAACAGGAUUAGAUACCCCGGUAGUC
RNAcentral lists this ribosomal RNA (465 nucleotides) under uncultured bacterium. Its description in RNAcentral is "partial 16S ribosomal RNA". It matches the Rfam family "Bacterial small subunit ribosomal RNA", at positions 338 to 795 of the family's 1533-position model. The record is from RNAcentral.